AACGAACGCUGGCGGCAUGCCUAACACAUGCAAGUCGCACGAGAAAGUCUUCGGACGAGUAGAGUGGCGCACGGGUGAGUAAUACAUGGGAACGUGCCUCUGAAUGGGGGAUAACUACGGGAAACUGUAGCUAAUACCGCAUAGUAACGUAAGUUUAAAGCUGGCCCCUAUUUAUAAGCUAGUGUUCAGAGAUCGGCCCAUGUCCCAUUAGCUAGUUGGCGGGGUAAAAGCCCACCAAGGCAACGAUGGGUAGCUGGUCUGAGAGGACGAUCAGCCACACUGGAACGUAGACACGGUCCAGACUCCUACGGGAGGCAGCAGUGGGGAAUUUUGCACAAUGGGGGAAACCCUGAUGCAGCAAUGCCGCGUGAGUGAAGAAGGCCCUUGGGUCGUAAAGCUCUUUCGGCUGAGAAGAAGGGCAGUAUGGCUAAUAUCCAUAUUGUUUGACGGUAUCAGAAGAAGAAGCACCUGCUAACUUCGUGCCAGCCGCCGCGGUAA
RNAcentral lists this ribosomal RNA (498 nucleotides) under uncultured bacterium. Its description in RNAcentral is "partial 16S ribosomal RNA". It matches the Rfam family "Bacterial small subunit ribosomal RNA", at positions 29 to 523 of the family's 1533-position model. The record is from RNAcentral.